This 369-nucleotide ribosomal RNA is filed under the name Cardiothorax howitti. Its description in RNAcentral is "partial 12S ribosomal RNA". Lineage: Eukaryota; Metazoa; Arthropoda; Insecta; Coleoptera; Tenebrionidae. The record is from RNAcentral.
GAUACCCUAUUAUUUUAAAUGUAAAGUUUUAGCUAUAAUGAUUGUUAGUUAUGUUCUUUAAAGUUAAAAGAUUUGGCGGUAUUUUAGUCUAUUCAGAGGAACCUGUUUUUUAAUUGAUAGUCCACGAUAGAUUUUACUUAAGCUUUGAAUUUACAUAUCGUCGUUUAUAAAGAUUUUAUUAGAAUUUUAAUUUUUAAUAUUUUUAAUUAAAAAUUAAUUCAGAUCAAGGUGUAGUUUAUGCUUAAGUUAAAAUGGGUUACAUUAGAUUUAUUUUUGGUUUUAAGGUUGAAAAUUUUAAAUAAAUUGGAUUUGAUAGUAAUUAUUAUACUUUUAAUUAGUGAUUUAGCUCUAAAAUAUGCACACAUCGCC